This is a small nuclear RNA of Octodon degus (degu), 182 nucleotides long. Its record names the gene U2. It matches the Rfam family "U2 spliceosomal RNA". Rfam says of the family: U2 is a small nuclear RNA (snRNA) component of the spliceosome (involved in pre-mRNA splicing). The record is from Ensembl. NCBI's taxonomy places the organism in Eukaryota, Metazoa, Chordata, Mammalia, Rodentia, Octodontidae.
UUCACUUCUUGGCUUUUUGGCUGAGAUCAAGUGUAGUAUCUGUUUUUCAGUCUAGUAGCUGAUACAUCCUCUGAGGACAAUGUAUUAAGUAACUUUUGCAGCCGGGGUAUGGAAUAGGAGCUUGCUCCAUCCACUCUGUAUCAGCCUGGCGUUGCAGUAUUUCCAGGAAUGAUGCAUGCCCC